CCUACGGGAGGCAACAGUGAGGAAUAUUGGACAAUGGGCGCAAGCCUGAUCCAGCCAUGCCGCGUGCAGGAUGACGGUCCUAUGGAUUGUAAACUGCUUUUGUACAGGAAGAAACACUGGUUCGUGAACCAGCUUGACGGUACUGUAAGAAUAAGGAUCGGCUAACUCCGUGCCAGCAGCCGCGGUAAUACGGAGGAUCCAAGCGUUAUCCGGAAUCAUUGGGUUUAAAGGGUCCGUAGGCGGUUUAGUAAGUCAGUGGUGAAAGCCCAUCGCUCAACGGUGGAACGGCCAUUGAUACUGCUAGACUUGAAUUAUUAGGAAGUAACUAGAAUAUGUAGUGUAGCGGUGAAAUGCUUAGAGAUUACAUGGAAUACCAAUUGCGAAGGCAGGUUACUACUAAUUGAUUGACGCUGAUGGACGAAAGCGUGGGUAGCGAACAGGAUUAGAUACCCUGGUAGUCCACGCCGUAAACGAUGGAUACUAGCUGUUGGAAGCAAUUUCAGUGGNGUAGACGAAGUAGAGUAAGUAAGUACCACCGUCGGGAGGUAACGGUUCGUCGAAGAAGUAGUUAAACGUUAAAGUUAAGUUAAGUUAGUUACGGCGUUGAGACGUUAGCCGACGGACGACGACCGAGGGGAGGUUAGGAGG
Molecule: ribosomal RNA, 648 nt
Filed under: uncultured bacterium
Lineage: Bacteria
Description: bacterial SSU rRNA
Rfam family: Bacterial small subunit ribosomal RNA (bases 1-537)
Source: RNAcentral